This is a long non-coding RNA of Felis catus (domestic cat), 1372 nucleotides long. RefSeq lists it as uncharacterized. Lineage: Eukaryota; Metazoa; Chordata; Mammalia; Carnivora; Felidae. The transcript is spliced from 4 exons. The record is from RefSeq and is a predicted model, not a curated record.
UGGAGGGGAGUCAGUGGGGAAAGCUCAGACCACACUCUGGACCAGACUCCUGUGUCAAGAGGGGUGGAAGGUGGUCAGGUUUGGGGGUGGGGGGAAGAACCUCAGGCAGGUGCAUUGUACUCAGCAGUGGAAUGAAGGGCUUAACAUCAUAUGCAAAAAGGAAGCCCCUCUUAGGUUUUCACCAGGAUUAAAUGGAAUUAGCUUUGUAGUUUUUAUAAUCUUCUUCACAAAAGAAUGCAAUUUCAGUUGCAUUGGCGAUUCUAGCUGCUUUUAGAGUCCUGUCUGCUUUCAAACAGGAAUCUGUCAUCUUCUCCCAAACUCAACAUGAGUUCACUCGUCUGGUUUGUAAGCUUGAGACCACGUGGAGACAGAGAGGUCCCAGGAGCCCCAGCCCUGCCAGCUGCCAGCUGUUGGAGUCCUGCAGCCUGGGCACCAGUCGCACGAGUGAGCCAGCCUUCUGAUGACUCCAGCUCUAGCCAUUAUCUGCCUGCAACUGCAUGACAGAUACAAAUGCCAACCACCUUGCCGAGGCCAGCAAACUCCCAGACUGUCUCUACUGGGAAACUCAGGGACCAGAGUGCCUGCCACUGCCCAGGAAGGUUCCUGACUUCCUCACCUCCCCUUGCUGCCUUACACCAAGCCACAUUCCCUUCGGCAACCUGAGCACCACCUGAGCAAAAUGCGUAAUGAAGACAAUGAAAAGGAAGAACUGAGGAAAAAGCAGGAAUUUCUCUUCUAUAUCUUUAGAAGCAACAAGGACAUCAGCGUUAAAGUCACACAGACCUAGGUUCAAGUUCCCUCCCUCCUCAGCUCUUCAAACCAGGGUAUCUUAUGUUCACUCAGCUUCAGUGUCCUCAUUUAGAGGGGACAAUAAUAUCUACUUCAGGAGAACUUUAGAGAUAUUAAAAGAAGUCAACAUACUUAAGGGAUACAGCACUUACCUGGCUGGGUGGUCAAAAAGGUCAAUAAAUGCCAAUUUCUCUCCCUUUCUGUCAUCACCUACACAAUCCAUGACUCUACGUUGUUUUUUUGUUUUUUUGUUUUUUGCUACUGCCAAUAACCUUAUGUCACUUUCCAAUUUCCCUUUGCUCUUCCUUCAUCCAGCCCUUUAAAUCUGAGUUCUUUUCUGGGCAGGCAUGGGUAUCAAUUCAACUGGGGCGUUAGCUAGUCAAUAAGGUAUAUCUUCCAGGAGCAAUCCCUUAAUCCCUCCAAGGAACAGAGGGAGAGGGAGAGGGAGAGACAGAGACAGGGGGAGACAAAAGAGAGGAAUUGGCUGGUUCAUGUGGUCACAGAGGCCAAGACGUCCAGUGAUCAGCCUAAUGUCUGCAAGCUGGAGAAAGAGGAAGGCAGGAGCUGUCUAUCAGAGGGUCGG